This is a long non-coding RNA of Cornus florida, 745 nucleotides long. RefSeq lists it as uncharacterized. The transcript has 2 exons. NCBI's taxonomy places the organism in Eukaryota, Viridiplantae, Streptophyta, Magnoliopsida, Cornales, Cornaceae. The record is from RefSeq and is a predicted model, not a curated record.
UUAUACUUGGGCUACUAGAACUGGGCUGUGCCGCUGUGGAGUGUGGGCUGUGCAAUUUAUUACUUUAUCAGUAAUCCACUAAUCCAGUAUCAGAUAGACAAAUGUCACAGAUAUUGGAUAAAGUAAUAAAAUAUCAAAAAUUAAAAUCACAAAUUCAAAACUCAAAAACCUAAACCUAAGUUUACCUAAAUUCCUAACCUCUCAAGUCUCAAACUCACUCCGCGGCUCCGCCUCCCCUCCUCUCCCCUCCUCUCCUCUCAGCGUUCUCAGGCUCUCACUAUCUAGUCUAUCUCAAGUCUCAACUCACUGGUCUCUACUCUCUAUCUUCUCAUAACUCAGAAAUCUCUUCGGACUCGCCUCAGAUCACAGUCUCUAUCUUCUCAGAUCAAGGUCACUGAUUCGUGGAUUCGGUCGGAUCGGUCUAUGUCUUCUGAGAUCUUCGGCUUCCGGUCUCAGUUUGUAUUUAGUGUCUAUUCGACAAAAUGGGGAAGUCUGGGAAGAGGCUUUCUGUGUGAGCAGCUACAAUGGACUAAUGGAGGAGUUACUGUUGCAGUGUUGCUGUUGCCAAAUGAUGUUGGAUUGUUGAAUGUUGAUUAAGUUUUUUUAACUUUUUUGUAAUUCUAAUGGAGUAAAGUGAAUUUCUGGAUGUAAUAUUUGUAUAUAGUAUGUUUAUUUAUGUUAUUGUAUUUGUAUUUUUUUUUUUUAAGGGAAAUUCAAAUAAUAUUAAAAAAGUCAACUUCGUCAA